AAUUUAAAAUCUACCUGGUUUYCAGGUCGAGUUGUAAUUUGAAGAUACGUUUUUGACGUUCCGGGUUGAACUAAAUCCUUUGGGAUAAGGUAUCAUGGAGGGUGAGAAUCCCGUAUAUACCAACCRUAGGGAUGUUAUUUAAUACGUUUCUAAGAGUCGAGUUGUUUGGGAAUGCAGCUCUAAAUGGGUGGUAAAUUUCACCUAAUGCUAAAUAUAAGCGAGAGACCGAUAGYGAACAAGUACAGUGAUGGAAAGAUGAAAAGAACUUUGAAAAGAGAGUUAAAUAGUAYGUGAAAUUGUUGAAAGGGAAACGAUUGAAGUCAGUCAUGCCRGUGGGAAUCAACUUAGAGGAAACUCUGAGUGCACUUYUUCGCUUGGCAGGUCAACGUYGAUUUUGGAUGUCAUAAAAUGAUUGGGGGAAGGUAGCUCCUUCGGGAGUGUUAUAGCCCUUGGUAGAUGUGAUGUCUGGGAUCGAGGAUUGCAAUGGAUACCCUUUGGGGCUAGCCGCCUGAUCUCUAAU
Molecule: ribosomal RNA, 520 nt
Filed under: Glomeromycotina sp.
Lineage: Eukaryota; Fungi; Glomeromycota
Description: eukaryotic LSU rRNA
Rfam family: Eukaryotic large subunit ribosomal RNA
Source: RNAcentral